GAUGAAGAACGCAGCAAAAUGCGAUACGUAGUGUGAAUUGCAGAAUUCAGUGAAUCAUCGAAUCUUUGAACGCACAUUGCGCCCGCCAGUAUUCUGGCGGGCAUGCCUGUUCGAGCGUCAUUUCAACCCUCAGGCCCCCAGUGCCUGGUGUUGGGGAUCGGCCCAGCCUUCCUGUAAGGCCGCCGGCCCCGAAAUCUAGUGGCGGUCUCGCUGUAGUCCUCCUCUGCGUAGUAGCACAACCUCGCAGUUGGAACGCGGCGGUGGCCAUGCCGUUAAACACCCCACUUCUGAAAGUUGACCUCGGAUCAGGUAGGAAUACCCGCUGAACUUAAGCAUAUCAAUAAGCGGAGGA
Molecule: unclassified non-coding RNA, 352 nt
Filed under: soil metagenome
Description: partial contains 5.8S ribosomal RNA, internal transcribed spacer 2, and large subunit ribosomal RNA
Rfam family: 5.8S ribosomal RNA (bases 1-120)
Source: RNAcentral